Molecule: long non-coding RNA, 628 nt
Filed under: Mustela putorius furo (domestic ferret)
Lineage: Eukaryota; Metazoa; Chordata; Mammalia; Carnivora; Mustelidae
Description: lncRNA (ENSMPUG00000025639.1)
Source: RNAcentral
UGUUCACGAGAAAUAUUGGUCUAUAAUUUUAUUUUUUGUAAUGUCUUUGUUUUUUAUUACAGAUAAUUCCAGCCUCAUAGAAUGAGUUGGGAAGUAUUCCUUUCUAUUCAAUUUCUUUAGAAGAGCUUUUCUAGAAUGAGAGAGAGAGAGCACACAUGCAAGAAGAGAAACAGAGGGAGAGGGAGAGAAGCAGACUCCUUGCUGAGCAUGGAGCCUGACUCUGGCUUGAUCUCACAAUCCCGAAAUCAUGACCUGAGCCCAAAUCAAGAGAUGGAUGCUUAAGCAACUGAACUACCCAGGUGCCUCACUUUGCCUUUAUCUUUAAAAGAUAUCUUUGCUAUGUAUAAAAUUCUGGUUUGAGGGGUGCCUGGGUGGCUCAGAUGGUUAAGCAUCUGCCUUUGGCUCAAGUCAUGAUCCUGGAGUCCUGAGACUAAGCUCCAACUUGGGCUUCCUGCUCAACAGGGAGCCUGCUUCUUCCUCUCCUUCUGCCCUUUCCUCUGAUUGUGUUCUUUCUCUCUCAAAUAAAUAAAAUAUUUUUUAAAAAAUUCUAGUUUGACAGUUUGGGGAGGAGGUUCUUUAAAUAUAUUGUUCAAGUGCUUUCUGACUUGCAUUGUUCCCCAUAAAAAAU